This 452-nucleotide ribosomal RNA is filed under the name uncultured Gammaproteobacteria bacterium. RNAcentral's name for it is "partial 16S ribosomal RNA". It matches the Rfam family "Bacterial small subunit ribosomal RNA", at positions 420 to 870 of the family's 1533-position model. Lineage: Bacteria; Pseudomonadati; Pseudomonadota; Gammaproteobacteria. The record is from RNAcentral.
GGGUUGUAAACUACUUUUGUACGGGAAGAAAUCUCUCUACGUGUAKAKAGUWGACGGUACCGUAAGAAUAAGCACCGGCWAACWCCGUGCCAGCAGCCGCGGUAAUACGGAGGGUGCAAGCGUUAKCCGGAAUCAUUGGGUYUAAAGGGUCCGUAGGCGGGCUAAUAAGUCAGUGGUGAAWWGCAGGGGCUUAACYMCGCACUGCCAUUGMUACUGUUAGUCUUGAAUUAUUGUGAARUGGUUAGAAUAUGUAGUGUAKCGGUGAAAURCUUAGAUAUUACAUAGAAUACMAAUUAGCGAAGGCAGRUACACUAACAUAAUAUAUUGACGCUGAUGGACGAARCGUGGGUAGCGAACAGGAUUAGAUACCCUGGUAGKCCACGCCGUAAACGAUGGUUACUAGCWGUUUGGUACAAUUGAGUACUGAGUGCAACGAAUGUGAUUUGUAACCC